GCUGGCAUCUGGCGUUUCACACCCCAUGUGCUCCAGGGAACAGAGAUGCUGAGUGUGCACUACAAAACCCUCCCCAGGCAGUGUCCUGAGGUGCCGCGGAGAAGCAGGAGGCAGGUUACAUCCCUGAACAAGACAGAGGGCAGGGCAAAUGCCGUGCUGGGGAUCUCCUAGCUGGAGAUCUCGACCAGCUGGGCCCCCAGCGCCGCAGGUCCCCAUAUUUCUCACUGUCUGCUUCCUCUGCCCCAACUCAGGGAUCCUCAUCUUAGGGAAGGAAGGGGAAGGUGGGGCUCAGAGGUCACGGUCUGCUAGGAGGCUGCACGGUCUCUCUUCCCUGGACUAGUCAGGUUGGCUGUUAAAAUGGGCUGCGGGGAGGCUCUUGGGAGACAGCGCAUGAGCGGUCCGCGAGCCCAGCCCAGCUCUGGCGGGAAUUCUGGAGACUCCGAGCCAGGUCCUUGGUGUCCUGGCCUUCGGCUGUUCCUUCUUGGACUGGGAGGUGGAGCGGACGGGGUUUGGCCCAGGUUAGGAAACCUGGCGCCCUUGCGGCGCCCGGGACCCCAGGGGCUGCUUAGGCCAGAGCGAAACGAGGGGUCCCCCCGCGCCCACGCAGGACCCACGUCCAUCCCUCCCGCUCAGACGGGAGGACGCGGUGUGCCGGGGUUGGCGGUGGUGUACUGGCUGCGCCGCCGCCCAGCCUAGUGCCCUCGCCUCCAGGGGGCCGGCAUGGCCCUGUCCUUCGGGGCAGGACCCUGCGCUCCCGUCCCCCUAGUGGUGGCCGGGGACCCCCGACGCCGAGCAGCGCCGUAUCUGGGGAGGGCCGCCUGGUACGCAGGGAAAAGGCGCUCAGGGCUGCGCGCGCCGGAGUGCAAACCUCCGAAAGUAGAGCCACAGAGCAGGGGAGACCGGCGAGGGACCGCGGCCGAGGGCGACAAGGGCGCCUCUCCAUCCCCAGCGUCCCCUGACUUGCCCUUGGAGCCCCAAGCUCUCAGGAGCCGUUUUCUACUCGUGGGUGCAGGACUUAGUCCCAGAAAAGUUCCGGACACACCCGGUGUUGCCGCCGCCCGGAGACGAAAAGACAAUACCCGCGCAAGCGCGGCCGACUCCCUCAGCUCCUGCGCCGCCACGCUGCAAACGGUGGCGUCCACGGUACGACGGG
Molecule: long non-coding RNA, 1153 nt
Filed under: Macaca fascicularis (crab-eating macaque)
Lineage: Eukaryota; Metazoa; Chordata; Mammalia; Primates; Cercopithecidae
Description: lncRNA (ENSMFAG00000059270.1)
Source: RNAcentral